CACUCCUACGGGGCGCAGCAGUUAGGACUCUUGGUCAAUUUUAUAGAUCCUGAACCAGCCAAGCCGCGUGAGGGAAGACGGCCCUAUGGGUUGUAAACCUCUUUUGUCGGAGAACAAAACCCGGGACGUGUCCCGGACUGCGUGUAUCCGAAGAAAAAGCAUCGGCUAACUCCGUGCCAGCAGCCGCGGUAAUACGGAGGAUGCGAGCGUUAUCCGGAUUUAUUGGGUUUAAAGGGUGCGUAGGCGGUCCGUUAAGUCAGCGGUAAAAUUGCGGGGCUCAACCCCGUCGAGCCGUUGAAACUGGC
Molecule: ribosomal RNA, 305 nt
Filed under: uncultured bacterium
Lineage: Bacteria
Description: bacterial SSU rRNA
Rfam family: Bacterial small subunit ribosomal RNA
Source: RNAcentral